CUCCUAGAUGGACCUGCGGCGCAUUAGCUAGUUGGCGGGGCAACGGCCCACCAAGGCGAGGAUGCGUAGCCGACCUGAGAGGGUGAACGGCCACAAUGGGACUGAGACACGGCCCAGACUCCUACGGGAGGCAGCAGUAGGGAGUAUUUGGCAAUGGGGGAAACCCUGACCGAGCAACGCCGCGUGAGUGAUUGAAGGUCUUAGGAUCGUAAAGCUCUGUUGCGCGGGACGAACGGCGGUCGCAGGUAAUGGCGAUCGUCUGACGGUACCGCGCCAGAAAGUGACGGCUAACUACGUGCCAGCAGCCGCGGUAAUACGUAGGUCACGAGCGUUAUCCGGAAUUAUUGGGCGUAAAGAGUGAGCAGGCGGCUCGCUAAGCCCGGAGUGAAAGCGUGGGGCUCAACCCCAUACAGCCUUGGAAACUGGCGGGCUAGAGUGCGCGAGAGGUCAACGGAACUCCAUGUGUAGCGGUGAAAUGCGUAGAUAUAUGGAAGAACACCGGUGGCGAAGGCGGUUGGCCAGCGCUGCACUGACGCUCAGUCACGAAAGCGUGGGGAGCAAAUAGGAUUAGAUACCCUAGUAGUCCAUGCCGUAAACGAUGACGACUAACUGUCCCUCCGUGGGGCGGUGAAGCCAACGCAUUAAGUCGUCCGCCUGGGAACUACGGCCGCAAGGCUGAAACUUAAAGGAAUUGACGGGACCCCGCACAAGUAGUGGAGCAUGUGGUUUAAUUCGACGCUACGCGGAAAACCUUACCAGGGCUUGACAUCCCGGCGCUAGUCGCGGAGACGCGAUGAGAUUGCCGGAGACAGGUGGUGCAUGGUUGUCGUCAGCUCGUGUCGUGAGAUGUUGGGUUAAGUCCCGCAACGAGCGCAACCCCCGUCGCCAGUUACCAUCAUUAGGUUGGGGACUCUGCCGAGACCGCCGGUGCAAACCGGAGGAAGGUGGGGAUGACGUCAAAUCAGCAUGCCCUUUAUGCCCUGGGCGACACACGUGCUACAAUGGCCGGUACAGAGG
RNAcentral lists this ribosomal RNA (1017 nucleotides) under wastewater metagenome. RNAcentral's name for it is "bacterial SSU rRNA". It matches the Rfam family "Bacterial small subunit ribosomal RNA", at positions 218 to 1245 of the family's 1533-position model. The record is from RNAcentral.